RNAcentral lists this small RNA (57 nucleotides) under Podarcis lilfordi (Lilford's wall lizard). The record is from RNAcentral. Lineage: Eukaryota; Metazoa; Chordata; Lepidosauria; Squamata; Lacertidae.
GUGCUCGCUUUGGUAACACAUAUACUAAAACUGGAACAAUACAGAGAAGACUAGCAU